UAAGGAAUAUUGGACAAUGGAGGCAACUCUGAUCCAGCCAUGCCGCGUGAAGGAAUAAGGCCCUAUGGGUUGUAAACUUCUUUUAGACGGGACAAAACCCCUUUACGUGUAAAGGGUUGAUGGUACUGUCAGAAUAAGCAUCGGCUAACUUCGUGCCAGCAGCCGCGGUAAUACGAAGGAUGCAAGCGCUAUCCGGAAUUAGUGGGUUUAAAGGGUGCGUAGGCGGACUAAUAAGUCAGUGGUGAAAGCCUGCAGCUUAACUGCAGAAUUGCCUUUGAUACUGUUAGUCUUGAGUACAGUUGAGGUAGGCGGAAUGUGUCAUGUAGCGGUGAAAUGCUUAGAUAUGACACAGAACACCGAUUGCGAAGGCAGCUUGCUAAGCUGUAACUGACGCUGAGGCACGAAAGCGUGGGGAGCAAACA
This 422-nucleotide ribosomal RNA is filed under the name uncultured bacterium. Its description in RNAcentral is "bacterial SSU rRNA". It matches the Rfam family "Bacterial small subunit ribosomal RNA", at positions 355 to 774 of the family's 1533-position model. The record is from RNAcentral.